CGGAGAGUGGCGCAGUGGCUUAGCGCGCUAGCAUCGGGAGCUAGAGGUCCCGGGUUCAAGUCCCGGCUCUCCGA
Molecule: transfer RNA, 74 nt
Filed under: Patescibacteria group bacterium
Lineage: Bacteria
Description: tRNA-Pro
Rfam family: tRNA
About the family: Transfer RNA (tRNA) molecules are approximately 80 nucleotides in length. Their secondary structure includes four short double-helical elements and three loops (D, anti-codon, and T loops).
Source: RNAcentral